CCUACGGGUGGCAGCAGUGAGGAAUAUUGGUCAAUGGCCGGAAGUCUGAACCAGCCAAGCCGCGUGAAGGAUGACGGCCCUAUGGGUCGUAAACUUCUUUUGUGUGGGGAUAAAAGGCCGCACGUGUGCUGUUUUGUAGGUACCCUAUGAAUAAGGAUCGGCUAACUCCGUGCCAGCAGCCGCGGUAAUACGGAGGGUCCGGACGUUAUCCGGAUUUAUUGGGUUUAAAGGGUGCGUAGGCGGGAUGUUAAGGCAGUGGUGAAAUGUCGGGGCUCAACCCCGACAUGGCGGAUGAGACUGGCAGUCUUGAGUGCGGCGGAGGGGUGCGGAAUGCGUGGUGUAGCGGUGAAAUGCUUAGAUAUCACGAAGAACACCGAUUGCGAAGGCAGCAUGCGGGACCGCAACUGACGCUGAGGCACGAAAGCGCGGGGAUCGAACAGGAUUAGAUACCCUAGUAGUC
This 460-nucleotide ribosomal RNA is filed under the name uncultured bacterium. RNAcentral describes it as "partial 16S ribosomal RNA". It matches the Rfam family "Bacterial small subunit ribosomal RNA", at positions 338 to 795 of the family's 1533-position model. The record is from RNAcentral.